GGGUGGAUCACAAGGUCAAGAGAUCGAGACCAUCCUGAUCAACAUGGUGAAACCCCGUCUCUACUAAAAAUACAAAAAUUAGCUGGGCAUGGUGGCGCGUGCCUGUAGUCUCAGCUACUCAGGAGGCUGAGGCAGGAGAAUUGGUUGAACCCAGGAGACGGAGGUUGCGGUGAGCCGAGAUCGCGCCAUUGCACUUCAGCAACUGGGUAAAAAGAGCGAAACUCUGUCUCAAAAAAAAAAGGAAAAAAAAACAGAGAGACGGAGAGAGAGGAGAGAGGAAGCAAGAAAAAACUCAUCAGUGGUAUGGAGGUUUCAGACCCUCCUCAAAGGUUCCAGUUCACUUUGGGUUCUAGGGAAACCUGAUUCAGUUUGAGUUCCUGAAGGAUGACCACGACCUGUUUCGGUGCUUUCGAAAGUGGCCACUUCUGUGCCUCAUUUCACUUAAUCCUCACAGCUAUGUACAAAGUAUUGUUAUUACAUCUACAUUUUACAGAUUAGUGCAACCAAAACGGAUCAUCCAGUGGUAAUCAAAGGCUGAAAUAGGCCUCCCCUCCUCUGUCCCAUCCUCAUUCCAUUCAGUUUUUAAGGAAGUCAAGGGUUUCCUAGACCAGUGCUUCUCAAAAUAAGGUACCCAGGCCAGCAGCAUCAUUAUCUGAUAGGAACUUGUUAGAAAUGCAGAUUCUCAGACCCUAUUCCAGACCUGCUGAAUCACAAACUCUGGGGACUGAGACCAGCCAUCUGUGGUCUUUUUUGUUUGGUUUCGGUUUUGUUUUUUGAAACAGGGUCUUUCUGUGUUGCCCAAACUGGAGUGCAGUGGCACCAUCAUUGCUCACUGCAGCCUUGAACUCCAAGCCUCAAGUGAUCCUACUACCUUGGCUUCCCUAGUAGCCAGGAUGGCAGGCAUGUGCCACCACACCUGGCUGAUUUUUUUUUAUUUUUUGUAGAGAUAGGGUCUCACUAUGUUGUCCAGGCUGGUCUCCAACUCCUGUCUUCAAGCAAUCCUCUUGCCUUAGCCUCCCGAAGUGCUGGGAUUACAUAUGUGAGUUACAUGCCUGGCCCAUCUGUGUUUUAAUGAGCCCUUCAAGCAAUUCUGAUACAUGUUAAAACUUGAGAACCACAGUCCUAGGCUAAUGGCUUCACCUGGCAAACAUUUAAAAAACACUGAUGCCUGAGUCUCACCCCAACCCAAGAUUCUGAUUUAAUUGGUUUGGAUGUAUCCUGGUCAUUAGUUGUUCGUUUGUUUGUUUGUUUUGAGACAGAGUCUUGCUCUGCCGCCAGGCUGAAGUGCAGUAGUGCAAUCUUAGAUUACUGCAACCUCCACCUCCUGGGUUCAAGCCAUUCUCCUGCCUCAGCCUCCUGAAUAGCUGGGACUACAGGCGCGCGCCACCACAACCAGCUAAUUUUUGUAUUCUUAGUAGAGACGGGGUUUCACCAUGUUGGUCAGGAUCGUCUUGAUCUCUUGGCCUCAUGAUCCACCCACCUCGGCCUCCCAAAGUGCUGGGAUUACAGGCAUGAGCCAUGGCGCCUAGCCAAGAUCACAGGUUUUGUAAAGCUCCCCAGAUAAAUGGAGACCACUGCAACCUAUACCUUCUGAAGCAGCCACUUUCAUCGAGAAUGGCUAAUGGCAUACUUACGGCAUAAAGUCAAGCAGCAGGGACUACAUGUAUAAGUGAGGACAUCACAGCUUUCCAGUUUUAAGUCUUUUCCCCUUCCCAAACCCUACAUCUAGACCAAGAGGCAUGGGUGAAAAAUGUUCCUUGGGUAAGCAGGCAUGAGCUCACUAGUUUGUAAUGUUUCUUACCUUAAGCCAAUAAAUUCAGUCUUUAGUGAGUAUUGAGAAGAUGCAGGACAGAAAUUCUCAAGUUGCCUACAAAAUAAUUUAGUAGAGGAAAUGAGAUCUACAAAUGGCAUGGUAAAUGCUUAAUAUUAUCAGCUCACUCUUUAUUCCUGGGUUUAUAUAUUUUGUAGUGAAGGUCAUAUCAUAUCACAUAGCACAUCUCUACUAUAACAGAGUUUCUGUUAGCAUUUGUCUAAUAGAUUAAUCUGCUGAUUAAUCAAUAAACAAAUGGAUAUCACUGAUGAACAGGCUAAUUCUGUCUUUGGUGUCCAGUGCCCAACUUACUAUCAAUGCUGCUCUUGGCAUGAAAGUCUAUUGACAAUAAAUGUGCUAGGAUAAGGUGCUAGAGUUGAAUGUCACCAGAAAGAGACUAUAAACCCAGAUGAAGCCUGGGUGCAGUGGCUCAUACAUGUAAUCCCAGCACUUUGAGAGGUGGAGGUGGGGGAAAUCACUUGAGGUCAGGAGUUCAAGACCAGCCUGACCAACAUGGUGAAAUCUCAUCUCUACUAAAAUACAAAAAUUAACCUGGCAUGGUGGUACACACCUGUAAUCCCAGCUACUCAGGAGGCUGAGGCUGGAGAAUCACUUGAAUCCAAUAGGCGGAGGUUGCAGUGAGCCAAGAUCACGCCACUGUACUCCAGUCUGGGCGACAGAGCAAGACUCCAUCUCAAAACAAAAACAAAAACAAAACCAGAUGGAGGCAGAAAAGGGAAAGCAGGUAUAGAGGUCAUUAAAGCUGGUGACCAAUUAUUUCCAAGUCUCCUCCCUGGGACAUAGAAGGGUCUCCUUAUGUUGCCCAGGCUGGUCUAGAACUCCUGGGCUCAAGCAAUCCUCCUACCUCAGCCUCCCAAAGUGUUGGAAUUAUAGGCAUGAGUCACCGCACUAGGCCAGAUCUCCCAUUGUAUUCAUGACCCCUCAUUUGCUCUGUAUAACCAAUGGCCAGGUUAUAGGCCCAGUUUGCAGGCCCACUGGGCAGGAUUCUCUGCCGUGGAUCACAGCCAGCUACUGGUCCAAAGGAGGGUAAUCGUUUUUGAAUGGAGGAAUAAGGUACCCAGCCCUCCCUAGCGAUCCUUCCUACUGGUUUAAAGGAAUUAGAAUAAAGCCUUAUCCAGAGAGGGGUGGUGACCAGGCAGGCAGCACAAGCAAUUUGAAGGCCAAGAGCUCAAAGAUAACUAGCCUGUUUUGCCAGCCUUGGACAGAGAGUGCAGUUUUUGAGGAAAGCACCACUGAUCCUGCUAUCUGCACUUGGGCAGCCUCCAGGGCUGCAGUGAGGCUUCAGUCACUGAGUAUGUUCCGAUGACUUUAGCAGAAAUCAGGCAGAAAACAUGUGCAUAUUGAAACUGUUUAGGGAAUAGACAUAGGCAUAAUCAAAUAUACAAAACCUACUACUUUGAGAUGUUUUGUAACAGCUGUGUUCCCUACAGAACAGGUUUCUUUUAUUGCCUGCAUCCAAGAGCAUCUCCAGGGUCCUUCCUGUUAGAAUGCUGAAUGUCCAUGGAGAGUUUGAGAUGAGGAAGAAGAGUGCUAUCUUCCAGCUAAGACUGGUGCAGCAGAUCAUGCAAUGUAAAACCUCAGCAGCUGUGAAGUAGAGCAGAGGGCCUGGGUGUCUGUCAACUCCAGGUUGGAGAUUUCCCCCAGCUUUCUAGGUAACUGUGCUUCCACUGAGCAAGUCAGAUACAGACUUGAGUAUCAUCACAACUUGUGCCUGUGACAUCUUUGCCCAAGAACAGCACACAUUAAACUUUAUAUUCUUCAUAAUAUGGAAGGAAAGGUAUUGACUGAGCCCUCCUUCAUGCCUCGAGACAUCUCAUAUAUAUUUAUAUGGAUAUAUACAUGAAUGUAUGUAUUCUGUCAUAAUAACACAUUUUAUUAUUAUCUUUUUAUUAUAACACAGUAUUAGGCUAGGCUGCAUAGGCUGCAUUGAAUCCCCAAAUAAAAGUUUAUAUUACACAUCAUAAUCUAAUGCAGGGACUCUCCUGGGCAACAUCUCUAAGUGGUGACUUGGAGAUUCAGACUCCUUUCAUCUUAAAAUGCCAUCAUCUUCAGCAUUUGGCCUCAACAGUUGUCAGAGAGGGAGAAGAGACUAUGUAUAAGACCACACCACAGGAUCUGUGGUAGGUCUCCAAGCACUUCUGUCACUUCUGCCAAGAACCCAAUCACAAGGCCCCAUCCUAACUGCAAGGGAAGCUGGAAAAGGUCUCCUUGUAUGCCAGGAAGAGAAAAUGAAAUUGACAGGUAUCUAGCCAGUCUUUGCUACAAGUUUCAACAUGUUGGAAUUAUUAACUAGUAUUUUUCUUCUGAUUAUGUGUAGCAUUUGGUAUUAUGUAGACUGCCUUGUUCCCUCCCACUGUAUUUUGUGACAUCCACAUGCAGCAUCCCAUUCCUCAGAACAGGACUAGAAGUGGUAAGGACAGGUUUUAUCAUCCACUUCAUGGAUGGAAACUCUGACCCAGAGCAAUUACAUGGCUUGUCCAAAGUUAUGCACUACUGUUAACUUAAAAACACACACAAUUUAUAAAUUUAGACAAAGAAAGGGUCUAGGUUCUUUCUUAUAAAGGGUUAUAGCCUUUAACGUGGCUAUCCCACAGACUGGGAAGCACAACCUCCAGCAGAAGCCCAGAGACAAGUGCUUUGAAGGGAGAGGGGUUGGGAUAGGAGCUUUAAGCUGAACAGGCUGACUAAACAUACACAUUCAGCAGGUUACAGGAGGAAGUAUGAAUAUUCAUGAAGGUGGUCCUGACACAUGUAUAUUGAACAAACAUACAUGUAACACAUGACCCAUGUUUACUUUGGGAGGGAGACUUAGCAUUUCAAUGUAUUACAGUUAGGCUCUAUACAUCUAAAGGUCUUUUCAGGACACAAAAGCUCACAAGUACACAACCUCUAUAAAUUAGUCAGAACCAGUUCAUGGUCAGUGGUCUUAUCAGGAAAAAGUUACUGAAAUCAGUCUCUCAUCCAAUGAAAGCUGUAGUUAUGGCUGGUGGAACAGGGUUCAGUUGGGCAGAGUCUAUGAGCUGGAUGAGGUGUAAUUGUUUAAAUAUUGAUUAUCUCGAAGCCAGUGCUUGUUUAGCUGCUGGAGAAAAAGAAAACCCUUAUGGCAGUUAGAGCAUAAUUUAUUCCUUAGGUGUAGGAGUACAUGACUUCCCCUCAUCUGGAAUGGCCUUAGGUCUUGAUUGUAAUUUGGUAUCUUAUUGCCACAAAGAAUAUGUUCUGUGAGUCCUGUCAUCUCUGUUGGAACAUUAAUGGUGCUCAGUUGUUGUGUCUAAACCAUAAAAGACUGGGGGAAUAUAAUUAGGCAUGUCUGACCUCCCAUUAUAGCCAGGAACUAAGUCUUGAAAUUUUUUUCUGGGGUCCCCUUGGCCACAAUGGGGUCCAUUUAGUCAGUGGGGGUCUUGGGAUUUAUUUUUAGUUUACACGACUGAGUGACAGAGCUUUUCUUCUUACAUUCUGAGGUUAGUGGUCUCUCUGCCAUGCCACAUUUUCUUCCCUGGAAGCUCAAACUGGAUGCCCAGCUCUCAAUGUACAAACUCAAAUAUGCAAGAAAUAUAUAUUUAUUCUUUUAUUAAUCUACCUAAUUUAUAUUUUAAGCCUCCACUCUAUGUCGGAAGGUGUCAGCAAUGAAUUCCAUCAUUUCGGUAUUUCUCUACCUUUAUUAUUGAUUGAUUGAUUGAUUGAUUGAUUGAUUUUGAGAAAGAAUCUCUGUCUCCCAGGCUGGAAUGCAGUGGCAUAAUCUCGGCUCAGUGCAACCUCUGCCUCCUGGGUUCAAGUGAUUUUCCUGUCUCAGCCUCCAGAGUAGCUGGGAUUACAGGUGCAUACCGCCACCACACCUGGCUGAUCUUUGUAUUUCUAGUAGAGAUGGGGUUUCACCAUAUUGAUCAGACUAGUCUCGAACUCCUGACCUUGUGAUCCACCCACCUCGACCUCCUGAAGUGCUGGGAUUACAGGCAUGAGCCACGGUGCCCGGCCUUCUCUAUCUUCAAAGAUAUGUUUACAUCUGGGGUGGGAUGAAGGUUCCAUGGAGGGGAGGGUGGUUAGGUUGUGCCAGGGUAUUGGGAAAUCCAUUUGUUCCUCAUAUCAGCUGUUUGAGGAGGCACCAACCCAGAUGUCCACAGUUGCUUCUGGCCUUCCUUUACCCAUACUGAUGCACCUGUGCCUCCUUCCUGUUUACAUGGCCCAUUUGUGCCCAGCAUCUCCCUGCUACUUGGAGCCACUCCAGGGUCUGGGAAGUUUUGUAGGCUUACAAUGUGCAGCCAUUCAUCUCCCCAGCUUGCUGCCUUCCUGAGACACAGAGUAGAGAAGUAGGGAAAGACCUACCCUAUCCAUGCCUUUGCCCUCUCACUUUCAUCCAUCUUUCUUCCUCCCCGGUAGAGGGAUGUGUUUCUAGUCUUCUAGGAAAGCCUCACUCACUUCAAACCAUUUUCUUACAAAUACUUUGGCUUUAUUGCAAAUCAUCUCUAGUCCUCUGAGAUUUUUUAAUACACAAAACACAACACACAGAAGUUGUAUUGUUGUUUUGCUAUUUAUCCUGUCACAGUAUUUCCCUACCUUGAGGUAAUGGGACAAGGGCCUGCUCUCCAGGGCAUGGAGGCAGGGAGGAAGGGGUAGGGGAAUAUUAAGAAAACAAACAAACAUUUCUUGAUCACUUGUGUAUUACAUUUAACUUUAUCAGGUCCUUGUGAGGUGAGUAUGUGUGUGUCAUUAUUCUGAAACUAACAGUGAGGAGAAGAAGCACUGAUGGAAGUUCUUAUAAUAUAUUUGGGAACUCAGUGGGAACUCCUACCUGAAUGGUCUUUAAAUGUACCAUCCCAACCCACCCAACUCAAUCCCCGUGGCUUGAUCCUGCAGUCGUGGUGAUCAAGCUUUCAGUUAAGAGUUGGAUGAUAGUGAGCUAGUUAAUCCAAUU
Molecule: non-coding RNA, 6740 nt
Organism: Callithrix jacchus (white-tufted-ear marmoset)
Lineage: Eukaryota; Metazoa; Chordata; Mammalia; Primates; Cebidae
Source: RefSeq, a predicted model, not a curated record